This 478-nucleotide ribosomal RNA is filed under the name uncultured bacterium. RNAcentral describes it as "partial 16S ribosomal RNA". It matches the Rfam family "Bacterial small subunit ribosomal RNA", at positions 28 to 523 of the family's 1533-position model. The record is from RNAcentral.
GACGAACGCUGGCGGCGUGCUUAACACAUGCAAGUCGAACGGUAAGGCCCUUCGGGGUACACGAGUGGCGAACGGGUGAGUAACACGUGGGUGAUCUGCCCUGCACUUCGGGAUAAGCCUGGGAAACUGGGUAUAAUACCGGAUAGGACCACUGCCUGCAUGGGUGGUGGUGGAAAGCUUUUGCGGGGUGGGAUGGGCCCGCGGCCGAUCAGCUUGUUGGUGGGGUGAUGGCCUACCAAGGCGACGACGGGUAGCCGGCCUGAGAGGGUAACCGGACACACGGGGACUGAGAUACGGCCCAUACUCCUACGGGAGGCAGCAGUGGGGAAUAUUGCACAAUGGGCGCAAGCCUGAUGCAGCGACGCCGCGUGAGGGAUGACGGCCUUCGGGUUGUAAACCUCUUUCAGCACCGACGAAGCGCAAGUGACGGUAGGUGCAGAAGGAGGACCGGCCAACUACGUGCCAGCCGCCGCUGUAA